This 685-nucleotide long non-coding RNA is filed under the name Triticum aestivum (bread wheat). Its description in RNAcentral is "long non-coding RNA (TAES_LNC006947)". Lineage: Eukaryota; Viridiplantae; Streptophyta; Magnoliopsida; Poales; Poaceae. The record is from RNAcentral.
UCCGGUCCUUUACAUCCCCAUCCCCUGCUCAGCUCGGAAAGGUACCUCAUCGCGGGUCACCUGAUCUCUGAAGUCUGAACCUCCAUGCUUUGGACGAAAUUACAUGAAACUUAUAUGCAUUAAUAUUUGUUAUUUUUAUGCAGUGUGCAAUGGAUUUAGAAUCCACCAAAUUUCUAUUGCAAUUUCCUAGAGAAAGUACCCAGUACUCAGCUGGUGUAGAUGAAUUCCUAGAGUUUGCAUAUAAAUAUACGAGCAGAUACAAUGAAUGAUCCGAUGUCCAUGUGAAGUUUGUGUUCACAAUUUAGUACUAUCAAGGGAUGAUGUCUGUGACCAUUUGAUGUGGAAUGUAAUGCUUUUGAGCUAUGACACAAUAGCUCAAUAAAGGUCAGCUUCCAGUGUGAUUCUGUUAUUUACAUUCUUAGUAUCACUGCUGCCACUUAUGUCAUUUUGGACAUGAAACUUACAACUCUAUUGCUCCUGUAAGCAGGUUUGAUGGACAAAGAAAGUCACUGAUCUGAAAAUGUGGAGCUUAUAGUUAAAGUGACGAAUUCAUUACUGUUAUUUGAAUUUUUUUUCUUUUAUGUCCAUGUACUUUAUAAUUCGGACAAGAAGAUUUAUAGGUGUGACUGGCCUAAAGUGUCAAUACUUGAUCCCAAAUAUGUUGGUGUUGGACUGUUGGUCAUUC